CCAUCUUUACAAUGUAUCACACACGUCAAGUGACACAAUGAAUUUAUUACAAUUUUUCAUUUAAUCACAGAUACACAGUAGAAAACAUACUUGGGGAAAGGACUGUGUCAAAGUUAGAUGUUCAUUAGUAUGUACAAUGUGCUCAUACUCCACCAGAGCCAGAUUUACAGCAAUGCUAGGUCAAAUAUAUACAAUUGUAAAAAAAUAAAUAUGUACAUUAAAUAUACAAAUAAAUGUGUACAUUAAAUAUACAAAUAAAGGAAAAUGAGAUUAACGUACAAGAACUCUGAACAAAUCAAAACAUAGAAGUACAGGAUCAAAC
This is a non-coding RNA of Biomphalaria pfeifferi, 322 nucleotides long. Lineage: Eukaryota; Metazoa; Mollusca; Gastropoda; Planorbidae. The record is from the annotation of a GenBank genome assembly.